This 995-nucleotide ribosomal RNA is filed under the name uncultured bacterium. Its description in RNAcentral is "bacterial SSU rRNA". It matches the Rfam family "Bacterial small subunit ribosomal RNA", at positions 355 to 1375 of the family's 1533-position model. The record is from RNAcentral.
UGGGGAAUAUUGCACAAUGGGGGAAACCCUGAUGCAGCGACGCCGCGUGGAGGAAGAAGGUCUUCGGAUUGUAAACUCCUGUUGUUGAGGAAGAUAAUGACGGUACUCAACAAGGAAGUGACGGCUAACUACGUGCCAGCAGCCGCGGUAAAACGUAGGUCACAAGCGUUGUCCGGAAUUACUGGGUGUAAAGGGAGUGCAGGCGGGAAGACAAGUUGGAAGUGAAAUCCAUGGGCUCAACCCAUGAACUGCUUUCAAAACUGUUUUUCUUGAGUAGUGCAGAGGUAGGCGGAAUUCCCGGUGUAGCGGUGGAAUGCGUAGAUAUCGGGAGGAACACCAGUGGCGAAGGCGGCCUACUGGGCACCAACUGACGCUGAGGCUCGAAAGUGUGGGUAGCAAACAGGAUUAGAUACCCUGGUAGUCCACACUGUAAACGAUGAUUACUAGGUGUUGGAGGAUUGACCCCUUCAGUGCCGCAGUUAACACAAUAAGUAAUCCACCUGGGGAGUACGACCGCAAGGUUGAAACUCAAAGGAAUUGACGGGGGCCCGCACAAGCAGUGGAGUAUGUGGUUUAAUUCGACGCAACGCGAAGAACCUUACCAAGUCUUGACAUCCUGCGACGCACAUAGAAAUAUGUGUUUCCUUCGGGACGCAGAGACAGGUGGUGCAUGGUUGUCGUCAGCUCGUGUCGUGAGAUGUUGGGUUAAGUCCCGCAACGAGCGCAACCCUUAUGGUCAGUUACUACGCAAGAGGACUCUGGCCAGACUGCCGUUGACAAAACGGAGGAAGGUGGGGAUGACGUCAAAUCAUCAUGCCCUUUAUGACUUGGGCUACACACGUACUACAAUGGCGUUAAACAAAGAGAAGCAAGACCGCGAGGUGGAGCAAAACUCAGAAACAACGUCCCAGUUCGGACUGCAGGCUGCAACUCGCCUGCACGAAGUCGGAAUUGCUAGUAAUCGCAGAUCAGCAUGCUGCGGUGAAUACGUUCCC